Molecule: ribosomal RNA, 1364 nt
Filed under: Klebsiella pneumoniae
Lineage: Bacteria; Pseudomonadati; Pseudomonadota; Gammaproteobacteria; Enterobacterales; Enterobacteriaceae
Description: partial 23S ribosomal RNA
Rfam family: Bacterial large subunit ribosomal RNA
Source: RNAcentral
UCAUCUUCGGGGGUAGAGCACUGUUUCGGCUAGGGGGUCAUCCCGACUUACCAACCCGAUGCAAACUACGAAUACCGAAGAAUGUUAUCACGGGAGACACACGGCGGGUGCUAACGUCCGUCGUGAAGAGGGAAACAACCCAGACCGCCAGCUAAGGUCCCAAAGUCAUGGUUAAGUGGGAAACGAUGUGGGAAGGCACAGACAGCCAGGAUGUUGGCUUAGAAGCAGCCAUCAUUUAAAGAAAGCGUAAUAGCUCACUGGUCGAGUCGGCCUGCGCGGAAGAUGUAACGGGGCUAAACCAUGCACCGAAGCUGCGGCAGCGACACUAUGUGUUGUUGGGUAGGGGAGCGUUCUGUAAGCCUGCGAAGGUGUGCUGUGAGGCAUGCUGGAGGUAUCAGAAGUGCGAAUGCUGACAUAAGUAACGAUAAAGCGGGUGAAAAGCCCGCUCGCCGGAAGACCAAGGGUUCCUGUCCAACGUUAAUCGGGGCAGGGUGAGUCGACCCCUAAGGCGAGGCCGAAAGGCGUAGUCGAUGGGAAACAGGUUAAUAUUCCUGUACUUGGUGUUACUGCGAAGGGGGGACGGAGAAGGCUAUGUUAGCCGGGCGACGGUUGUCCCGGUUUAAGCAUGUAGGCUGGUUAUCCAGGCAAAUCCGGAUAAUCAAGGCUGAGGUGUGAUGACGAGGCACUACGGUGCUGAAGUAACAAAUGCCCUGCUUCCAGGAAAAGCCUCUAAGCAUCAGGUAACAUUAAAUCGUACCCCAAACCGACACAGGUGGUCAGGUAGAGAAUACCAAGGCGCUUGAGAGAACUCGGGUGAAGGAACUAGGCAAAAUGGUGCCGUAACUUCGGGAGAAGGCACGCUGGUGUGUAGGUGAAGUCCCUGCGGAUGGAGCUGAGACCAGUCGAAGAUACCAGCUGGCUGCAACUGUUUAUUAAAAACACAGCACUGUGCAAACACGAAAGUGGACGUAUACGGUGUGACGCCUGCCCGGUGCCGGAAGGUUAAUUGAUGGGGUUAUCCGUAAGGAGAAGCUCUUGAUCGAAGCCCCGGUAAACGGCGGCCGUAACUAUAACGGUCCUAAGGUAGCGAAAUUCCUUGUCGGGUAAGUUCCGACCUGCACGAAUGGCGUAAUGAUGGCCAGGCUGUCUCCACCCGAGACUCAGUGAAAUUGAACUCGCUGUGAAGAUGCAGUGUACCCGCGGCAAGACGGAAAGACCCCGUGAACCUUUACUAUAGCUUGACACUGAACAUUGAGCCUUGAUGUGUAGGAUAGGUGGGAGGCUUUGAAGCGUGGACGCCAGUCUGCGUGGAGCCAACCUUGAAAUACCACCCUUUAAUGUUUGAUGUUCUAACGUUGGCCCCU